CCUACGGGAGGCAGCAGUGGGGAAUAUUGCACAAUGGGGGAAACCCUGAUGCAGCGACGCCGCGUGAGUGAAGAAGUAUCUCGGUACGUAAAGCUCUAUCAGCAGGGAAGAAAAUGACGGUACCUGACUCAGAAGCCCCGGCUAACUACGUGCCAGCAGCCGCGGUAAUACGUAGGGGGCAAGCGUUAUCCGGAUUUACUGGGUGUAAAGGGAGCGUAGACGGCAGCACAAGUCUGGAGUGAAAUCCCGGGGCUUAACCCCGGAACUGCCUUUGAAACUGGGCGGCUGGAGUGCAGGAGGGGUAAGCGGAAUUCCUAGUGUAGCGGUGAAAUGCGCAGAUAUUAGGAGGAACACCGGUGGCGAAGGCGGCUUACUGGACUGUAACUGACGUUGAGGCUCGAAAGCGUGGGGAGCAAACAGGAUUAGAUACCCCGGUAGUC
RNAcentral lists this ribosomal RNA (440 nucleotides) under uncultured bacterium. RNAcentral describes it as "partial 16S ribosomal RNA". It matches the Rfam family "Bacterial small subunit ribosomal RNA", at positions 338 to 795 of the family's 1533-position model. The record is from RNAcentral.